ACCCUUCAAACCCAGUGCUGAUGUUCCCUAAAUAAGGGAACAUCAGCACUGGGUUUGAGGGGU
RNAcentral lists this microRNA precursor (63 nucleotides) under Pelobates cultripes (western spadefoot toad). Lineage: Eukaryota; Metazoa; Chordata; Amphibia; Anura; Pelobatidae. The record is from RNAcentral.